Molecule: ribosomal RNA, 448 nt
Filed under: uncultured bacterium
Lineage: Bacteria
Description: bacterial SSU rRNA
Rfam family: Bacterial small subunit ribosomal RNA
Source: RNAcentral
GCCAGACUCCUACGGGAGGCAGCAGUGGGGGAUAUUGCACAAUGGGGGGAACCCUGAUGCAGCGACGCCGCGUGGGUGAAGAAGCGCCUCGGCGCGUAAAGCCCUGUCAGCAGGGAAGAAAAUGACGGUACCUGAAGAAGAAGCCCCGGCUAACUACGUGCCAGCAGCCGCGGUAAUACGUAGGGGGCAAGCGUUAUCCGGAUUUACUGGGUGUAAAGGGGGCGCAGACGGCGAUGCAAGCCAGGAGUGAAAGCCCGGGGCCCAACCCCGGGACUGCUCUUGGAACUGCGUGGCUGGAGUGCGGGAGGGGCAGGCGGAAUUCCUAGUGUAGCGGUGAAAUGCGUAGAUAUUAGGAGGAACGCCAGUGGCGAAGGCGGCUUACUGGGCUGUAACUGACGUUGAGGCUCGAAAGCGUGGGGAGCAAACAGGAUUAGAUACCCUCGUAAUA